This 265-nucleotide ribosomal RNA is filed under the name uncultured Pseudomonas sp. Its description in RNAcentral is "partial 16S ribosomal RNA". It matches the Rfam family "Bacterial small subunit ribosomal RNA", at positions 1120 to 1382 of the family's 1533-position model. Lineage: Bacteria; Pseudomonadati; Pseudomonadota; Gammaproteobacteria; Pseudomonadales; Pseudomonadaceae. The record is from RNAcentral.
AGCACGUUAUGGUGGGCACUCUAAGGAGACUUGCCGGUGACAAACCGGAGGAAGGUGGGGGAUGACGUCAAGUCAUCAUGGCCCUUACGGCCUGGGCUACACACGUGCUACAAUGGUCGGUACAAAGGGUUGCCAAGCCGCGAGGUGGAGCUAAUCCCAUAAAACCGAUCGUAGUCCGGAUCGCAGUCUGCAACUCGACUGCGUGAAGUCGGAAUCGCUAGUAAUCGUGAAUCAGAAUGUCACGGUGAAUACGUUCCCGGGCCUU